AUACAUGCAAGUCGAGCGAACAGAUAAGGAGCUUGCUCCUUUGACGUUAGCGGCGGACGGGUGAGUAACACGUGGGUAACCUACCUAUAAGACUGGGAUAACUUCGGGAAACCGGAGCUAAUACCGGAUAACAUUUGGAACCGCAUGGUUCUAAAGUGAAAGAUGGUUUUGCUAUCACUUAUAGAUGGACCCGCGCCGUAUUAGCUAGUUGGUAAGGUAACGGCUUACCAAGGCAACGAUACGUAGCCGACCUGAGAGGGUGAUCGGCCACACUGGAACUGAGACACGGUCCAGACUCCUACGGGAGGCAGCAGUAGGGAAUCUUCCGCAAUGGGCGAAAGCCUGACGGAGCAACGCCGCGUGAGUGAUGAAGGGUUUCGGCUCGUAAAACUCUGUUAUUAGGGAAGAACAAAUGUGUAAGUAACUGUGCACAUCUUGACGGUACCUAAUCAGAAAGCCACGGCUAACUACGUGCCAGCAGCCGCGGUAAUACGUAGGUGGCAAGCGUUAUCCGGAAUUAUUGGGCGUAAAGCGCGCGUAGGCGGUUUCUUAAGUCUGAUGUGAAAGCCCACGGCUCAACCGUGGAGGGUCAUUGGAAACUGGGAAACUUGAGUGCAGAAGAGGAAAGUGGAAUUCCAUGUGUAGCGGUGAAAUGCGCAGAGAUAUGGAGGAACACCAGUGGCGAAGGCGACUUUCUGGUCUGUAACUGACGCUGAUGUGCGAAAGCGUGGGGAUCAAACAGGAUUAGAUACCCUGGUAGUCCACGCCGUAAACGAUGAGUGCUAAGUGUUAGGGGGUUUCCGCCCCUUAGUGCUGCAGCUAACGCAUUAAGCACUCCGCCUGGGGAGUACGACCGCAAGGUUGAAACUCAAAGGAAUUGACGGGGACCCGCACAAGCGGUGGAGCAUGUGGUUUAAUUCGAAGCAACGCGAAGAACCUUACCAAAUCUUGACAUCCUUUGAAAACUCUAGAGAUAGAGCCUUCCCCUUCGGGGGACAAAGUGACAGGUGGUGCAUGGUUGUCGUCAGCUCGUGUCGUGAGAUGUUGGGUUAAGUCCCGCAACGAGCGCAACCCUUAAGCUUAGUUGCCAUCAUUAAGUUGGGCACUCUAGGUUGACUGCCGGUGACAAACCGGAGGAAGGUGGGGAUGACGUCAAAUCAUCAUGCCCCUUAUGAUUUGGGCUACACACGUGCUACAAUGGACAAUACAAAGGGCAGCUAAACCGCGAGGUCAUGCAAAUCCCAUAAAGUUGUUCUCAGUUCGGAUUGUAGUCUGCAACUCGACUACAUGAAGCUGGAAUCGCUAGUAAUCGUAGAUCAGCAUGCUACGGUGAAUACGUUCCCGGGUCUUGUACACACCGCCCGUCACACCACGAGAGUUUGUAACACCCGAAGCCGGUGGAGUAACCAUUUAUGGAGCUAGCCGUCGA
Molecule: ribosomal RNA, 1429 nt
Filed under: Staphylococcus sp.
Lineage: Bacteria; Bacillati; Bacillota; Bacilli; Caryophanales; Staphylococcaceae
Description: bacterial SSU rRNA
Rfam family: Bacterial small subunit ribosomal RNA
Source: RNAcentral